Long non-coding RNA from Bombus terrestris (buff-tailed bumblebee), 2553 nucleotides. RefSeq lists it as uncharacterized. The record is from RefSeq and is a predicted model, not a curated record. NCBI's taxonomy places the organism in Eukaryota, Metazoa, Arthropoda, Insecta, Hymenoptera, Apidae. The transcript has 4 exons.
UCCCAUAUCGGCUUAAUAAAGAGGACGUCGUUUAAUAUCGCAACUAAACUGUAGCCCUACGAUUUCUUCGAUUUUGCACGCUCGAACGAAGUGCCUUCAGCUACCAAUAAGUGGCAGUUAGAUAGCGAUCUGCAUUGGCAAACGGACAGAAAACCAGCAACAUUGUUGUAGACUAUGAAUUAUGGCGAGGAUCCACCGGAAAGAAGCUGUAACUCUCCAACGUAAGAAGAAUCUGCGAGAAACGAGCAGAAGCCCGAACGUCACUCUUGGCCGGUGUGGUUGCUAAUUAAGCAAGGCGGAGAGAAGAUCGACUGAGAACCACUAUACUCGCGCUAGAAGGCAACGAGCGAGUCUACGCCAGCAGGUAUCGUCCAAGGACCAACGCCUUUUCCUCGAAACGAUCGUCGAGGAGCAUUCGCGAGCCCUAGAACGAGUGGUUCGCGUGUCGCUGACUGAUUUCGUCGAAAAGAGCGUGCGUUCGAGCGAAGGCACACGCACGCCUCGGAUAACGAGUAGAGAACCAACAGGCACAUCCUCAUGGACCGACGAAUCCGUCGUUCGCGUUCGGCCCGCGUACGGGCCGUGUGGACCGGAUUCCGGGCCGUGCUUUGACCGUUGCUGUAAUAAAGGGCAAUCAUCGGCCAUUACGGCCGGGCUGCUUGCUGACUGGACACGCGCGUGCAUUUAAGUUCGCGCUCGCGCUCGUGUCCAGCUUGGAACGCGAGAAUGUAAUGUAUGCCGUGUACGCACUGAUUAUUGCGCGACGAGCGUGUGUCUUGUAAUUUCGAAGUUUUGUCAGAAAGAGAGAAAGAGAGAUGCCCCGCCAGGAUGAAUUUGUCUGCCGACAGACAGGGCUUUUGCCAUUUCUUGAUGGCUUUAACGGAAUACCGUGGUAUGUGCUUUUAGCGGUUGAUUCGAAGAAGAUACGGUUCGAUGGUGGAUGAAUUUACUGCUUUUUAGAAAUUGAGGAUUUAGAUACUUUGGUUGAGUCUGGUAAGAGGAGGAAUAAGAAAAGAAUACGAGCUUAGGAAUUGUAGAAAUUUGCUGACUAUUUUUGCUGUUGUUAGGUUUAGGUAGUUGAUCGUAGUAUAUAGUAUUAUGUACUUUUGGUAUUAUUCCGUCGGGGUGUUUGAAAAUAAUUGGAAUAUCUUGAAAAAUGUAGCGUAAAAAUAUAUCAUUGGUUAAUAGCGGUAACUAUCGGGCAUCGGUCAAUUGAAAAUAUAUGGAAAUUUUACUAACAUCGAAUUUUAGGUCUAACCAGAAACUUAUUAAUCGAUUUAUCUUCCACGUUGUAAAAAGAAUGAUUAAAUUGUCAGCAAUGAAAAUUAACGCAAAUCUGUAAGUAUAUUUCACUCGAUCAAGUACAUACAUACACGUCCAUUAUUUUAUUUGAAUACUCGUGCAAUUAUCAAAUAAACAUGAAAAACCUAAACCCCAUUCACCGCCAGAAACAUUCUCCCCAAAAUCAGUAUGCCUCUCGAAAAUCUGUUCUAUUCAGAUGAAACAACGAGUCUUUCGUUCAUCCUCGAUCAAACAAGCAGCAGCAAUCGCUUUUAUUCGCCGACCAUCCCUACUGGUCGCAUCAUUUAUGCAUGGGGAAUGGCGUGCACCCUGUAAUUACCCCGAAUAACGUAAUACCAGACGAGUGUAAACAUUCGCGUGCGUUCUAUGUACUCGUAAUUAGGGGAAUAAAAUGCACGAAUCGCUAAUUAUACCGCUGUGUACACGCCUUUGCAACGAGAGAAAGAGAAAUAGAGAUAUAGCGUGGAUAGGGCAGCACAGUGCACGUACGUGCAUGAGAUCCUGUCGACGGUGCAUCCGUUGAUCCUGUCACCGUCUCUCGCAGAAUCGUCGAUUUCCGCGAGGCUGAUACGCUUUUACCGCGCCGUGGUGUGCACUGCCGAUAUUAAAUGUUUGCAGGCAAUUUGAACGUAAUCGGUACCCGCGAUCCCGUUUUGCAGUUAUUACGGCCGCUCGGAGCUGACGUGUAUCGUAUUCCAGCGAGGAUAUCGAGCGUUAUUAAAACGCCUCGUCAUCCAAUCGGAGGCUUCCGUUCGAGUAACAUAGACACAAGUUACGAACGAUAGAACAGAGCUUGUCUCUUCAUAGGUUUCAAGAUGAGAUUUCAGAAUUUAACGAGGAAAGAAUUAGAGUUCCUUUUGUUGACGCGUCUGUCGUCUUUCUUGAUUCAAAUAUCCUGCAUCAUAUGGUCGCUGGAAAAUUGGCACGCUAGCAGAUAACCCUUUAAAGUUCGAAACAGCAGCGAUGCAAAGAGCAACGAUAUCGAUGAGAAAUGAGCAGAGACUGCUGUGACACAGGCUAACAGCAAAAGUGUACGAAGCUUAUAUCACUACGAAAUUAAAGAAGAAACCAUGGGAUUCCAUUAUGAAACUACUACUAUAAUUUUACUAUGUAUAGAUAUAAUAAUAAUAAACUUAAACUCUGCAUAACUUAUAACGACGUUUCAAUGAAGAUAACGCCAACCUCAUGCUAUCAAUCUUAACUGUUUCAAUAAUCUGCCAAAUGUCUCCUCAAAUAAAUCGCGGAGAAGUA